GCGUGCGAGGUGCCAAGCAUG
RNAcentral lists this microRNA (21 nucleotides) under Oryza sativa (Asian cultivated rice). RNAcentral's name for it is "osa-miR160e-3p". Its record names the gene osa-miR160e-3p. Lineage: Eukaryota; Viridiplantae; Streptophyta; Magnoliopsida; Poales; Poaceae. The record is from miRBase by way of RNAcentral.